Molecule: ribosomal RNA, 1480 nt
Filed under: uncultured bacterium
Lineage: Bacteria
Description: 16S ribosomal RNA
Rfam family: Bacterial small subunit ribosomal RNA
Source: RNAcentral
UGGCUCAGGAUGAACGCUAGCGGCAGGCUUAACACAUGCAAGUCGAGGGGCAGCGGGGAGGAAGCUUGCUUUCUCCCGCCGGCGACCGGCGCACGGGUGAGUAACACGUAUGCAACCUGCCCCUGUCAGGGGGACAACCCGCCGAAAGGCGGGCUAAACCCGCGUACAUGCCACCGGGGCAUCCCGGAGGCAGGAAAGGCUUCGGCCGGACAGGGAUGGGCAUGCGGCGCAUUAGGCAGUAGGCGGGGUAACGGCCCACCUAACCGACGAUGCGUAGGGGUUCUGAGAGGAAGGUCCCCCACACUGGUACUGAGACACGGACCAGACUCCUACGGGAGGCAGCAGUGAGGAAUAUUGGUCAAUGGUCGGGAGACUGAACCAGCCAAGCCGCGUGAGGGAUGAAGGUACAGAGUAUCGUAAACCUCUUUUGUCAGGGAACAAAGGCGGGGACGUGUCCCCGGAUGAGUGUACCUGAAGAAAAAGCAUCGGCUAACUCCGUGCCAGCAGCCGCGGUAAUACGGAGGAUGCGAGCGUUAUCCGGAUUUAUUGGGUUUAAAGGGUGCGCAGGCGGUCUGUUAAGUCAGCGGUCAAAGCCCGGGGCUCAACCCCGGCCCGCCGUUGAAACUGGCAGUCUCGAGUUGGAGAGAAGUAUGCGGAAUGCGCGGUGUAGCGGUGAAAUGCAUAGAUAUCGCGCAGAACUCCGAUUGCGAAGGCAGCAUGCCGGCUCCACACUGACGCUGAGGCACGAAAGCGUGGGUAUCGAACAGGAUUAGAUCCCCUGGUAGUCCACGCAGUAAACGAUGAAUGCUAGCUGUCCGGGGGGGAUUGACCCCUGGGUGGCGAAGCGAAAGCGAUAAGCAUCCACCUGGGGAGUACGCCGGCAACGGUGAAACUCAAAGGAAUUGACGGGGGCCCGCACAAGCGGAGGAACAAGUGGUUUAAUUCGAUGAUACGCGAGGAACCUUACCCGGGCUCAAACGGGGAGUGACUCAGGCAGAGACGCCUGUUUCCCACGGGACACUCCCCGAGGUGCUGCAUGGUUGUCGUCAGCUCGUGCCGUGAGGUGUCGGCUUAAGUGCCAUAACGAGCGCAACCCCCGCGUGCAGUUGCUAACAGAUAACGCUGAGGACUCUGCACGGACUGCCGGCGCAAGCCGCGAGGAAGGCGGGGAUGACGUCAAAUCAGCACGGCCCUUACGUCCGGGGCGACACACGUGUUACAAUGGGUGGUACAGCGGGAAGCCAGGCGGCGACGCCGAGCGGAACCCGAAAUCCACUCUCAGUUCGGAUCGGAGUCUGCAACCCGACUCCGUGAAGCUGGAUUCGCUAGUAAUCGCGCAUCAGCCAUGGCGCGGUGAAUACGUUCCCGGGCCUUGUACACACCGUCUGUCAAGCCAUGGGAGCCGAGGGCGCUUGAAGUGCGUCGCCGCGAGGCGCGCCCUAGAGCGAAAUCGGUGACUGGGGCUAAGUCGUAACAAGGU